UAAAAAAGACGGCCCCUCUCUCCCUCCUCACCGGUGGUCACAGAUCCGCCGGGGAAGAAAUGGACGUGCAGCAUUGACGCACUCGUCGUCGGCGAGCGAGGUCACGCACUGACGACAAGGCCAUCCUCUCAGACCUCGCGCCCGCGCAGGAUGGCCUCCGUCCCCAAGCUCGCUGCCAUAGUGUGUGCGGAGGACGACGACCACGAGUGAAGCCACUUCCCGCCGACCCUCAGACAAUUAUGAAGACAAGAGGAAAGGUCAAGAGUGGGCACCUACUCCUCCGGCUGUUCUCUUGAGGAGUGUCACUGAAUUGUCAAGGCGGUGAUGGCAUUUUAUUUUAGUAGAACUGCACAAAAUUUUCUUAAAAGAAGAGGAAAGGUCAGGAAUGGCUCAGUUAUUCAGAAAAAACUACUGGAUGCUCGAUUUUAGUCGAACUGCACAAAAAGUCCAACUGGUUCAACAUUAGGAGCAUGUUUUUUUUCCAAACCUUUAUAUCCAAUUGGUGGCACUAUGAGCUGUUCAUUAUGAAG
Molecule: non-coding RNA, 530 nt
Organism: Aegilops tauschii subsp. strangulata
Lineage: Eukaryota; Viridiplantae; Streptophyta; Magnoliopsida; Poales; Poaceae
Source: RefSeq, a predicted model, not a curated record